GACGAACGCUGGCGGCGUGCCUAAUACAUGCAAGUUGAGCGAUGAAGAUUGGUGCUUGCACCAAUUUGAAGAGCAGCGAACGGGUGAGUAACGCGUGGGGAAUCUGCCUUUGAGCGGGGGACAACAUUUGGAAACGAAUGCUAAUACCGCAUAACAACUUUAAACAUAAGUUUUAAGUUUGAAAGAUGCAAUUGCAUCACUCAAAGAUGAUCCCGCGUUGUAUUAGCUAGUUGGUGAGGUAAAGGCUCACCAAGGCGAUGAUACAUAGCCGACUUGAGAGGGUGAUCGGCCACAUUGGGACUGAGACACGGCCCAAACUCCUACGGGAGGCAGCAGUAGGGAAUCUUCGGCAAUGGACGAAAGUCUGACCGAGCAACGCCGCGUGAGUGAAGAAGGUUUUCGGAUCGUAAAACUCUGUUGGUAGAGAAGAACGUUGGUGAGAGUGGAAAGCUCAUCAAGUGACGGUAACUACCCAGAAAGGGACGGCUAACUACGUG
This 497-nucleotide ribosomal RNA is filed under the name uncultured bacterium. Its description in RNAcentral is "partial 16S ribosomal RNA". It matches the Rfam family "Bacterial small subunit ribosomal RNA", at positions 28 to 507 of the family's 1533-position model. The record is from RNAcentral.